GCGGAAAAAGGGGAAGGGAAGAAGGAAAAGGAAGGAAAGAAGGGAGGCAAGGACGGAGGGAGAGAGAAGCAGAGGGAAGGAGGAAGAAGGGUCUAUUGGGCCUCCCAGUAUUGGACCCAGGCAGGGUCUCCUCCCCGCCCCCUCCCCUCGGGUCCUGGACACUGCCAUCAGAUGUUCAGGGGAUGCUGCUAGGAUCCUGAUGCGGAGCCCAAAUCCUCUGACCCUUCAAAGAAAGGCUGAAAGAGUUUAAAUCCACAUUCAUGGAGAAAAUACUUGCAACAUGAGAUCACAGAUAUGCUUAAGGGCCAGUGCUCUAUGCACUGCACCAUCUAGCUGCCCCUCUCAGAUGAUAGAGGAAACAAUGAAAGAAAUUUCCACCUUGGAUUUAAUUUUAACCAACAAAGAAGAGCCACAUGGUAAAGUGGAACUGAUGAAAGCCUUAAUCACCAGGCACCAUGCAAAACACUUUGAAAAUGGGAUGUCGUUUAGGGGAAGCAACAUCUAAAGAAACUAACAUGGCUACCUAUAGAGCUUUCCAAUAAAUUUGAAUUUUCAAAGGACAUCUGCAAAAGACAAAAGAAGGAUGAUUAUGAAAGCUUAGCGUGAAUUGUAACAUAAAUGUCUUCAACCUGGGUUCAAAAAAUCAACUUCACAAAUAUAGGAUUGAAAUGGUAUGGCUUAACAGUAGUUUGAAAAAGAUAUGAGGGUUUCAGUGGACUGCAAGCUCAGUGGAAGUUAGUAGUGUGAUGUGACAUCUAACAAAGUGUAACAAUUGGAAUGAUGCCACCUGCUGGAGACUUACUGUAGUAGGGCUCCACCAUGAGGAGAAGGCCUCUGAGGGCAAGACCAUGCGACUUUUCUUUGGCAUCAGGA
This is a long non-coding RNA of Dromiciops gliroides (monito del monte), 873 nucleotides long. RefSeq lists it as uncharacterized. Lineage: Eukaryota; Metazoa; Chordata; Mammalia; Microbiotheria; Microbiotheriidae. The record is from RefSeq and is a predicted model, not a curated record. The transcript has 3 exons.